GCCUCCGUAGCACAAAGGCAGUGCAUCGCUUUCCUAUUUCUGGUUGAGAUCCCUAGGCGAAGGUUGUGGGUUCGAUCCCCACCGGCGGUU
This is a non-coding RNA of Mycena belliarum, 90 nucleotides long. Lineage: Eukaryota; Fungi; Basidiomycota; Agaricomycetes; Agaricales; Mycenaceae. The record is from the annotation of a GenBank genome assembly.